GUGCCAGCAGCCGCGGUAAUACGUAGGGGGCAAGCGUUGUCCGGAUUUAUUGGGCGUAAAGCGCACGCAGGCGGUCUUGCCAGUUUCGAGUGACAGGUGGUGGCUUAACCAUCACAGGCCUCGGAAAACUGCAAGACUUGAGGACUUCAGAGGGACGCGGAAUUCCAGGUGGAGCGGUGAAAUGCGUAGAGAUCUGGAAGAACACCAAAGGCGAAGGCAGCGUCCUGGGAAGUAUCUGACGCUCAGGUGCGAAAGCUAGGGGAGCGAACGGGAUUAGAUACCCCGGUAGUCC
Molecule: ribosomal RNA, 292 nt
Filed under: uncultured bacterium
Lineage: Bacteria
Description: partial 16S ribosomal RNA
Rfam family: Bacterial small subunit ribosomal RNA
Source: RNAcentral